ACUCCUACGGGAGGCAGCAGUGAGGAAUAUUGGUCAAUGGGCGCGAGCCUGAACCAGCCAAGUAGCGUGAAGGAUGAAGGUCCUAUGGAUUGUAAACUUCUUUUAUAGCAGAAUAAAGUGACCCACGUGUGGGUUUUUGUAUGUAUGCUAUGAAUAAGGAUCGGCUAACUCCGUGCCAGCAGCCGCGGUAAU
RNAcentral lists this ribosomal RNA (192 nucleotides) under uncultured Bacteroides sp. RNAcentral's name for it is "partial 16S ribosomal RNA". It matches the Rfam family "Bacterial small subunit ribosomal RNA", at positions 335 to 524 of the family's 1533-position model. The record is from RNAcentral. Lineage: Bacteria; Pseudomonadati; Bacteroidota; Bacteroidia; Bacteroidales; Bacteroidaceae.